CCUACGGGCGGCAGCAGUGGGGAAUAUUGGACAAUGGGCGAAAGCCUGAUCCAGCCAUGCCGCGUGUGUGAAGAAGGCCUUCGGGUUGUAAAGCACUUUCAGUGGGGAAGAAAGCCUUGGGGCUAAUACCCUCGAGGAAGGACAUCACCCACAGAAGAAGCACCGGCUAACUCCGUGCCAGCAGCCGCGGUAAUACGGAGGGUGCGAGCGUUAAUCGGAAUUACUGGGCGUAAAGCGCGCGUAGGCGGUCUGAUAAGCCGGUUGUGAAAGCCCCGGGCUCAACCUGGGAACGGCAUCCGGAACUGUCAGGCUAGAGUGCAGGAGAGGAAGGUAGAAGUCCCGGUGUAGCGGUGAAAUGCGUAGAGAUCGGGAGGAAUACCAGUGGCGAAGGCGGCCUUCUGGACUGACACUGACGCUGAGGUGCGAAAGCGUGGGUAGCAAACAGGAUUAGAUACCCCAGUAGUC
RNAcentral lists this ribosomal RNA (465 nucleotides) under Vreelandella stevensii. RNAcentral's name for it is "partial 16S ribosomal RNA". It matches the Rfam family "Bacterial small subunit ribosomal RNA", at positions 338 to 795 of the family's 1533-position model. The record is from RNAcentral. Lineage: Bacteria; Pseudomonadati; Pseudomonadota; Gammaproteobacteria; Oceanospirillales; Halomonadaceae.